RNAcentral lists this ribosomal RNA (229 nucleotides) under uncultured bacterium. Its description in RNAcentral is "partial 16S ribosomal RNA". It matches the Rfam family "Bacterial small subunit ribosomal RNA", at positions 568 to 796 of the family's 1533-position model. The record is from RNAcentral.
UGCGCAGGCGGGCUUGUAAGUCAGUGGUGAAAUACUGCCGCUUAACGGUAGAACUGCCAUUGAUACUGCAAGUCUUGAAUAUGGUUGAGGUAGGCGGAAUGUGUUGUGUAGCGGUGAAAUGCAUAGAUAUGACACAGAACGCCGAUUGCGAAGGCAGCUUACUAAGCCAUAAUUGACGCUGAGGCACGAAAGCGUGGGGAGCGAACAGGAUUAGAUACCCUGGUAGUCC